Molecule: ribosomal RNA, 254 nt
Filed under: uncultured bacterium
Lineage: Bacteria
Description: partial 16S ribosomal RNA
Rfam family: Bacterial small subunit ribosomal RNA
Source: RNAcentral
GCAAGUCGAACGGUAACAGGAAAUAGCUUGCUAUUCGCUGACGAGUUGCGAACGGGUGCGUAACGCGUAUGCAACCUACCCUUAACAGGGGGAUAGCCUUCCGAAAGGAAGAAUAAUAUCCCAUAAUAUAAUUGAAUGGCAUCAUUUAGUUAUUAAAGCUCCGGCGGUUAAGGAUGGGCAUGCGUGUCAUUAGUUAGUUGGUGAGGUAACGGCUCACCAAGACUACGAUGACUAGGGGUUCUGAGAGGAUUAUC